Molecule: long non-coding RNA, 423 nt
Organism: Pipra filicauda (Wire-tailed manakin)
Lineage: Eukaryota; Metazoa; Chordata; Aves; Passeriformes; Pipridae
Exons: 2
Source: RefSeq, a predicted model, not a curated record
AAAUCCAGUCCGGGUUUCCCCGACCCCCCCCCAGCGGCCCCGGGACCCCCCGACAGAGGCACCGCACGAGUCGCAGAGUUUGGAAAACACCUUUGAGAUGAUCGAGUGCCACGUCCAGUCCUUUCUUGAGCACCCCCAGGGACGGUGACUACACUACCUCCCUGGGCAGCCCAUUCCAAUGUUUAACAACCCUUUUCGGUGAAAAAAUUCCUCCUGAUGUCCAACCUGAACCUUUCCUGGUGCAGAAUGAGGCUAUGUCCACUUGUCCUGUCUCUAGAUCCCUGGGAAAAGAGACCGACCCGCCUCUGGCUACAACCAAAGAACAUGAGGAAUUACCGACUGUCAUAUAGAUAACUCUUUACGAGCACAUGGAAAACUGUUGCAGUUAUAAGGUUCAUAUAAUUAUAGACCAUUUCUUUCGAA